Molecule: long non-coding RNA, 450 nt
Filed under: Homo sapiens (human)
Lineage: Eukaryota; Metazoa; Chordata; Mammalia; Primates; Hominidae
Description: HSALNT0209174
Source: RNAcentral
AGAGCAGCCGGUAACGUUGCUGGACCGGGACGCACGCUCAGCUGAGGAGGACCCCCAAAGGGGCAGCCUUCUUUAAGCAACAUCUCAAGUGUGGCCUAAUGCUCUGUGUAACUGAUUUUUAUUGUUAGGUAUAUUGACCAAAGUUUAACGAGAAGAACUGUGAUCAGCUGGGAGGAUUGCUGCAAGGAAUGGAAUUAGCUCAUAGCUUACUGCUGAAUGAAGAAGCAUACAAUCAACUAGGUGAAGUUCAGAAGGCAGAGUUUAUUUUUGAGUGGUUGAGAUACUUGGAGAAGCUCUUGUUGGCAACCAGCAGGAAUGAUGUAAGGGAGAAACAGAAGACUCUUGUUGAACAGCUCCUGUCUUUGUUGAACAGCUCCCCAGGGCCUCCUACCCGCAAACUGCUUGCUAAGAAUCUAGCCAUACUUUAUAGUAUUGGAGACACAUUCUCCG